RNAcentral lists this ribosomal RNA (497 nucleotides) under uncultured bacterium. Its description in RNAcentral is "partial 16S ribosomal RNA". It matches the Rfam family "Bacterial small subunit ribosomal RNA", at positions 28 to 507 of the family's 1533-position model. The record is from RNAcentral.
GACGAACGCUGGCGGCGUGCCUAAUACAUGCAAGUUGGGCGCUGAAGGUUGGUACUUGUACCGACUGGAUGAGCAGCGAACGGGUGAGUAACGCGUGGGGAAUCUGCCUUUGAGCGGGGGACAACAUUUGGAAACGAAUGCUAAUACCGCAUAAAAACUUUAAACACAAGUUUUAAGUUUGAAAGAUGCAAUUGCAUCACUCAAAGAUGAUCCCGCGUUGUAUUAGCUAGUUGGUGAGGUAAAGGCUCACCAAGGCGAUGAUACAUAGCCGACCUGAGAGGGUGAUCGGCCACAGUGGGACUGAGACACGGCCCAAACUCCUACGGGAGGCAGCAGUAGGGAAUCUUCGGCAAUGGACGAAAGUCUGACCGAGCAACGCCGCGUGAGUGAAGAAGGUUUUCGGAUCGUAAAACUCUGUUGGUAGAGAAGAACGUUGGUGAGAGUGGAAAGCUCAUCAAGUGACGGUAACUACCCAGAAAGGGACGGCUAACUACGUG